This is an RNA transcript of Melospiza georgiana, 5229 nucleotides long. It is a transcript of the gene named galactosamine (N-acetyl)-6-sulfatase, with no coding region annotated. The transcript has 16 exons. Lineage: Eukaryota; Metazoa; Chordata; Aves; Passeriformes; Passerellidae. The record is from RefSeq and is a predicted model, not a curated record.
CCUGGGCCCGCUGGGGCUGUGCUGGGCCCUGCUCGGCACCGCCGCCGCAGCCACCAACAUCGUCCUGCUGCUCAUGGACGACAUGGGCUGGGGGGAUUUGGGAGCUUUUGGAGAGCCCUCCAAGGAAACCCCUAACCUGGACCAGAUGGCUGCAGAAGGGAUGCUGUUCCUGGAUUUCUACACUGCCAGCCCCCUCUGCUCUCCCUCAAGGGCAGCCCUGCUGACAGGCCGGCUCCCGGUCAGGAACGGCUUUUACACCACCAAUGGACACGCCAGGAACGCAUACACACCACAGGACAUAGUAGGAGGAAUCCCAGAUUCUGAAUUACUGCUUCCAGAGCUCCUGAAGAAAGCUGGUUACACCAAUAAGAUCAUUGGCAAAUGGCACUUGGGGCACAGGCCCCAGUUCCACCCCCUGAGGCACGGCUUUGAUGAGUGGUUUGGGUCCCCAAACUGCCACUUCGGGCCCUACAACAGCACCGAGCGCCCCAACAUCCCCGUGUACAGGGACUGGGACAUGGCUGGCAGAUACUAUGAAGACUUCAAAAUUAAUCUGAAGACAGGUGAAUCCAACUUGACUCAGCUCUACCUGCAGGAAGCUCUGGAUUUUAUUAGCAAGCAGCAGGCCAGCCAGCAGCCAUUCUUUUUAUACUGGGCAAUUGAUGCUACCCACGCUCCUGUUUAUGCCUCCAAACAGUUCCUGGGCACGAGUCAGAGAGGGCUGUAUGGGGAUGCUGUGAGGGAGAUCGAUGACAGCGUUGGGAGAAUCCUGAAGCACCUCCAGCAGCUGGGCAUCAGUGAGAACACCUUUGUGUUCUUCACCUCUGAUAACGGGGCUGCUCUCAUUUCAGCUCCCAAGCAAGGAGGAAGCAAUGGGCCCUUCCUGUGUGGCAAACAAACCACCUUCGAGGGUGGCAUGAGGGAGCCAGCCAUCGCCUGGUGGCCCGGCCACAUCCCUGCAGGAGGGGUCAGCCAUCAGCUGGGCAGUGUGAUGGAUCUGUUCAGCACCAGCCUCUCCCUGGCGGGUCUGCAGCCUCCCAGUGACAGACAGAUUGAUGGCAUCGACCUUUUACCUGUCAUCCUGCAGGGCAAGCUCAUUGACAGGCCCAUUUUCUAUUAUCGUGGCAACGAGCUGAUGGCAGUGAGAGCUGGGCUCUACAAAGCUCACUUCUGGACCUGGAGCAACUCCUGGGAGGAGCACAGCAAGGGCAUUGAUUUCUGUCCUGGCCAGAGCGUGGCUGGAGUGACCACACACAGCCAGGAGGAGCACACCUACCUGCCCCUGCUCUUCCACCUGGGCAGGGACCCUGGGGAGAAGUACCCCUUGAGCUUUGCCAGUGAGGAGUACCAGCAGGCUGUGCAGCACAUCUCAGGGCUGGUGCAGCAGCACAGGGCCACCCUGGUGCCAGGCCAGCCCCAGCUGAACGUGUGUGACCAGGCUGUCAUGAAUUGGGCCCCUCCGGGCUGCGAGAAGCUUGGGAAGUGCCUGAAAGCACCAGAGUCUGAUCCUAAGAAAUGCUCUUGGCCUCACUGAUGGCUGCAGCCCUGCAGAGCUGCCCACAGGACAUCCAGUGUGCAAUGCCUGCUCCUGUUGGCACUCCUGUUUACACAGGAAGGGUGUGAUGUGUGCAUGAUAUCGUCACUCGCUCUUCCAAAAGGGCCAGUGUUUAUAUUCCUCAUGCUCAGGGUUUAGCCUCUACUCCUCUCUUCCCCCAGCUCUUUCCCUAAAUGGUAACUCCAGGGAGAUUGGGUCAGCUGGAAAAGCUCUCUGGACUCUGCCACCAGCUCCAGAAUGCCCUGGAUCACUCCUGCUCCUUCCACCCAGCCUUGCUCCCUCAGCUGCCCCAACAGGAGCCACGGGACAGUCAGGAAACUCAGAGCUGCCAGGGAGCCCUGCCCAAACUGCCCAUGUUUUGUUUGCCUGUGGCUUGUUGUUUUAACAUUUCAUUUCCAUUGUGAGCUCUGGACAUCAACUUGUUGUUGCUUUCUCCCCAAAUCUGUGAGCUCUGGGUGCAAACCAGGCAUCCCUCCUGCUCACAGCUGGGGGGUUUGGAUCCAGGGAGAAUGCCCUGAGUUCCUUCCAUGUGUAGCUGCAAACAUUCCCAGGUGAUGGUUUCAGGAAAGGUGGGGAUUGGGGUUACAGCCCUGCCAAGGCCUGCAGGAGCUCCAGGAGGGCUGCAGAGGGAAUUUGGGCAAGGGAUGGAGGGACAGGACACAGGGAAUGGCUCCCACUGCCAGAGGGCAGGGAUGGGUGGGAUAUUGGGAAGCAAUUCCUCCUUGCAGGAGUGGUGAGGCCCUGGCACAGGUGCCCAGAGCAGCUGUGGCUGCCCCUGCAUCCCUCAAGUGUCCAAGGCCAGGCUGGGCAGGGCUUGGAGCACCCUGGGACAGUGGAAGUGGAGCUGCACUGGGAGAGCUUUGAGGUCUUUUCCAGCCCAGACCAUUCCAGGAUUCUGUUGCCAAUGGUUGGUGCAGGACGUUUAUGGGGGGUCUGUUCAUUUCAGGGCUUUCCUUCAUUUCCAGGAAUCUGGGUCUAAAGCUGCUCCAAGCCCUGCUUCCCAUCUGGUGCUCUGGGCUCAGAAAUGCCCCUUGGCACCAGCACUUAACUCUUGCCCCAUUUCCAGCACAUGCUCUCCCAGGAAUUCUCCUUGUGCAAACCUUCCCCAGCCUGGCUGCUGCUCUCCUGGGGAACACAGGAUCAGCCUUUGCUCAAUGCCACAGGGCAGAUCCCUGCUCUGCCCCGGAGCCUGCUCCACACCCUUCCCCAUCUCCAAUAAACCUGUCUGGAGCCAGACCAGCCUCCCCUGGGCCCUCAGGGCAGCAGCUGGAGGGAGCCUGAGCGUCUUUGGGUUCACACUGAAAGAGGGGAGGUUUAGCUUGGAUAUAAGGAAGGAAUUGUUCCCUGUGAGGGUGGGGAGGCCCUGGCACAGAGUGCCCAGAGAAGCUUGGAGCAGUCUGGGAUAGUGGAAGGUGUCCCUGCCCAUGGCACAGGGUGGAGCAAGGUCAGCUUUAAAUCCCUUCCCACCCAAACCAUUCCAUGAUUCUCCACUGGUCCCACAACAGCUCCACUUCCACCCCUGCAGUGUUUUCCACCGCACAGGUGCCUUCUCUGUGUGAUGUUGUGCUGCCUUAGGAAAAUCCAGGUGCUCUGUACCUGGAAACAGCUCAAAUCCCUCCCCAGCUAAGCUUGGAGCUGCUGGAGAGCUCUGUCCUUGUGCCAGCUCCAGGCUCCAGCUGCUUCCUACCCCCCUGUAACCCCAAACCCUCCCAUUUCCCCAUCCCAUGCUUCGUGUACCUCCCUGGUAAUCCCUGCUGUGUGUCUCAUGCUGGACAAUCCCAUUAAACUGGAAUGACAACAGCCCUUGGAUCAGCUCUUGCUGUUGCACCUCUCAGAAAUCCCAGCCAGCAUUUCAGGGAUCCCUGCACAUGUGCAAGUGCCAUUUGUUUAUAGCCCACAUUUCUCAGGAUGUUCCUGCUUGUCCUUCAAGUGAAUCACGGCAUUUCCAGCUCACCCAUAACAUUCCUCCUUGUUUAGACACAGCUCAAGGCUUGGGAGAUGUGGCCAGCAGCUCCCUCAGAGGGGAGCUCACGGCUGCCAGCAGCUGUGGGUCUGUCAGCACUGAUAAAACCAGGAGCUCCCCGUUUGCUGGGGCUGCUCCAGCUCUGCUUUGGGGCUUCUCCGUGUCCAGGGAGGGGAAUGGAGCUGGAAAAGGGCUGGAGGAUCCUGAGGGAGCUGGGAAGGGAAUGGAGAAUCCUGAGGGAGCUGGGAAGGGAAUGGAGAAUCCUGAGGGAGCUGGGAAAGGGCUGGAGAAUCCUGAGGGAGCUGGGAAGGGAAUGGAGAAUCCUGAGGGAGCUGAGGGGGCUCAGCCUGGAGCAAAGGAGGCUCAGGGGCCCUCCUGGCUCUGCACAGCUCCUGGGACAGGGAACAGGGACAGGAGCAGAGUUGUGCCAGGGGAUAUUGAGUUGAACAUCAGGGAAUUUUAUUCAUGGGAAGGGUGAAAAGCAGGGCACAGGGCAGGGGUGAUAUCCCAGCCCUGAAGUGUUGAAACCCCCUGGAUGUGGCAUUGGGGUGACCAUGGUGCUGAGGGCUGGAUUUGAUCUCUGAGGUCUUUUCCAGCCUCAGUGGCUUUGAUUCCACAGCUGUGUCCCUGGGGCUGUCAGAGCCCUGCACUCACUGUAAAAUCCAACCAGAGGAGGGAGUACCUGGCUGCAGCUCCCUGGCAAUCCUGUCAGCCCUCAAAUCCUUGUGAGGAAACAGCCCUGGUGGGGUUCUGUGCUGCUUAGGAAGAGAUCCCCAGGAUCAGAGCUGGGCCUGGCCUGGCCAAGCUCCUCAGUCCCAGAGUUUGCUGUGGCCACCUCCUCCCUGUCCCCUGCCUGCUGCUCCCUCCCCUGCUCUGUCACAGCUGCCUUUGGGAGAUGCUGCACAGCAAAGCCUCAUUCCUCAUCCCUGGAGCGAUCUCAGGACACAGAUCCUGCAGGGAAAUGCUGCACUUGAAAGCAACUGAGCCUCUCAAGCCUCCCAGCUCUGCCCCUGAGGCUGUGUUAUCAUCCCACCCUCCGUGCAGAGAAGCUUCUGAAAUGGAUGGAACUAAUAAUGGUGGAGGAGCUGGGGCUGCACUUCAGGCUCUGGAGCCUUGAUUUCAAAUCCUGCAGCGACAAAUGGAUUAUUUCCAUGGCAAAUUGCUCCCUGGGGAGCAGCAAUUUGGGGAGCUGAAUGCUGGAACUGGGAAGCUGCAGAUCAAUUCCCAACACUUGGAGCCAAGGUUAAUGCCCUGCAAACUGCCCUGAGUGCAGCAGCAGCGAGGAGAGCACGGCCCUGCCUGGCCAAGGGGGCCUCAGGAAUGAUCCAAGGGAAAAUGGGAAAUUCUGGAACCAGGGAAGUGAGAGAGUCCCAUGGAUUUGCUGGUAAAACCCAGUGACAGUGGGAUUUGAGUACAAGAAGUGGAACUGAUGUCCAAGAAGGAGGCUGUGGCACUUGGGACAGUGGCAGCUCCCAUUCCUGUCACCUCCAGCCCUUCCCAGACAUCAUGGACAGCAUCCCAAAAUUCCUUAUAAUAAGGUUGGAUACUCAAAUUCUCCUCAGUGACAACAGCUUUGAAAUAACCCCAUGAAAGAACUGCAGCAGCUGAAGCAGGACCUGUGGAAGCGAUAUCAGCCCCUUGCUGAAGGAUCCUGUGGCCUUCAGGGCUUUGAUUGAUCUUCUGGAGGAUCAUGUGAGGGCACUUUACCCGA